This is a long non-coding RNA of Sander lucioperca (pikeperch), 169 nucleotides long. RefSeq lists it as uncharacterized. The record is from RefSeq and is a predicted model, not a curated record. NCBI's taxonomy places the organism in Eukaryota, Metazoa, Chordata, Actinopteri, Perciformes, Percidae. The transcript is spliced from 3 exons.
UACAGCAGCAGACCUCAUCAGCCUCAUUUCCUGUAGUUUCUGUAACGUUAACGUCUGCUGCAGUGUCACCCGAAGCGGCAGUAUAGCCUCAGGGGCAGGCUUACCAAAACACUGAGAGAGUGUAGUUUAAAUUCGCUCUCGUUUCAUAUAUCUCCUUUAGUGAUUCACA